RNAcentral lists this ribosomal RNA (450 nucleotides) under uncultured bacterium. RNAcentral describes it as "partial 16S ribosomal RNA". It matches the Rfam family "Bacterial small subunit ribosomal RNA", at positions 354 to 796 of the family's 1533-position model. The record is from RNAcentral.
GUGGGGAAUCUUCCGCAAUGGACGAAAGUCUGACGGAGCAACGCCGCGUGAGUGAUGAAGGUCUUCGGAUUGUAAAGCUCUGUUAAUCGGGACGAAAGAGCCUAGUGUGAAUAAUGCUAGGAAGUGACGGUACCGGUAUAGAAAGCCACGGCUAACUACGUGCCAGCAGCCGCGGUAAUACGUAGGUGGCAAGCGAUGUCCGGAAUUAUUGGGCGUAAAGCGCGCGCAGGCGGAUAUGCCAGUCUGUCUUAAAAGUUCGGGGCUUAACCCCGUGAUGGGAUGGAAACUACAGAGCUAGAGUAUCGGAGAGGAAAGUGGAAUUCCUAGUGUAGCGGUGAAAUGCGUAGAUAUUAGGAAGAACACCAGUGGCGAAGGCGACUUUCUGGACGAAAACUGACGCUGAGGCGCGAAAGCCAGGGGAGCGAACGGGAUUAGAAACCCUGGUAGUCC